RNAcentral lists this ribosomal RNA (663 nucleotides) under Microbacterium sp. Its description in RNAcentral is "bacterial SSU rRNA". It matches the Rfam family "Bacterial small subunit ribosomal RNA", at positions 124 to 801 of the family's 1533-position model. The record is from RNAcentral. Lineage: Bacteria; Bacillati; Actinomycetota; Actinomycetes; Micrococcales; Microbacteriaceae.
AUCUGCCCCUGACUCUGGGAUAAGCGCUGGAAACGGCGUCUAAUACCGGAUACGAGCUGCGACCGCAUGGUCAGUAGCUGGAAAGAAUUUCGGUCAGGGAUGAGCUCGCGGCCUAUCAGCUUGUUGGUGAGGUAAUGGCUCACCAAGGCGUCGACGGGUAGCCGGCCUGAGAGGGUGACCGGCCACACUGGGACUGAGACACGGCCCAGACUCCUACGGGAGGCAGCAGUGGGGAAUAUUGCACAAUGGGCGCAAGCCUGAUGCAGCAACGCCGCGUGAGGGAUGACGGCCUUCGGGUUGUAAACCUCUUUUAGCAGGGAAGAAGCGAAAGUGACGGUACCUGCAGAAAAAGCGCCGGCUAACUACGUGCCAGCAGCCGCGGUAAUACGUAGGGCGCAAGCGUUAUCCGGAAUUAUUGGGCGUAAAGAGCUCGUAGGCGGUCUGUCGCGUCUGCUGUGAAAACCCGAGGCUCAACCUCGGGCCUGCAGUGGGUACGGGCAGACUAGAGUGCGGUAGGGGAGAUUGGAAUUCCUGGUGUAGCGGUGGAAUGCGCAGAUAUCAGGAGGAACACCGAUGGCGAAGGCAGAUCUCUGGGCCGUAACUGACGCUGAGGAGCGAAAGGGUGGGGAGCAAACAGGCUUAGAUACCCUGGUAGUCCACCCC